GAGCCCAUGGCUCAGUGGUUAGAGCGGUUGAUUUCUACUCAACAGAACGUGGGCUUG
This 57-nucleotide transfer RNA is filed under the name Schistocephalus solidus. It matches the Rfam family "tRNA", at positions 1 to 55 of the family's 71-position model. Rfam says of the family: Transfer RNA (tRNA) molecules are approximately 80 nucleotides in length. Lineage: Eukaryota; Metazoa; Platyhelminthes; Cestoda; Diphyllobothriidea; Diphyllobothriidae. The record is from Rfam by way of RNAcentral.